CAGGUCAAAAGCUGAAGUGUCGUCUGCAGGGAUUUUCUUCAUUGAGGACAGAAAAGAGAAAAGCUUGCCCCUUAAGUGUGUUUUCUACGGCCAUUCUGCCCAGGCUUGUUCACAGCAGGCUCCAGAGCUCGUACAGAGGAAUAAAGGAAAUGAUCACAUCAAUUCAGCAGUCUUCAGAGAGGAAAAGUUGCCAGCUCUGCUGGGGUUCCUGAGUGAAUAUUCUUCUGUGAAAG
RNAcentral lists this long non-coding RNA (233 nucleotides) under Oryzias javanicus (javanese ricefish). RNAcentral's name for it is "lncRNA (ENSOJAG00000017085.1)". Lineage: Eukaryota; Metazoa; Chordata; Actinopteri; Beloniformes; Adrianichthyidae. The record is from RNAcentral.